This is a long non-coding RNA of Etheostoma spectabile (orangethroat darter), 274 nucleotides long. RefSeq lists it as uncharacterized. NCBI's taxonomy places the organism in Eukaryota, Metazoa, Chordata, Actinopteri, Perciformes, Percidae. The record is from RefSeq and is a predicted model, not a curated record. The transcript has 2 exons.
CGUACAGUAAAUACAAUUCAGUAAUGGCCUGGGAGACAGCAGGGAUGCUGAGGCGGAACUGAAACUCGGUGCUGACGUUUCUUUCAGAGACUCCUAAACGUCACGGACGGCCGGAAAUGGUCGCAAAUUUAAACAGCCUUCACAGCAACAAUAAGCGCGUACUUUCACUUUAUGGGCUGUUUAAUGAAUCGCUAGUUUAUUAAAAAUUAAGUUAACUUCUUGCAAAGGAUUUCUUUUAAGGUGCAAACCUAACGGAAGAAGUCCAAGCUGACGG